Molecule: ribosomal RNA, 497 nt
Filed under: uncultured bacterium
Lineage: Bacteria
Description: partial 16S ribosomal RNA
Rfam family: Bacterial small subunit ribosomal RNA
Source: RNAcentral
GAUGAACGCUGGCGGCGUGCCUAAUACAUGCAAGUCGAGCGAACAGACGAGGAGCUUGCUCCUCUGACGUUAGCGGCGGACGGGUGAGUAACACGUGGAUAACCUACCUAUAAGACUGGGAUAACUUCGGGAAACCGGAGCUAAUACCGGAUAAUAUAUUGAACCGCAUGGUUCAAUAGUGAAAGACGGUUUUGCUGUCACUUAUAGAUGGAUCCGCGCCGCAUUAGCUAGUUGGUAAGGUAACGGCUUACCAAGGCAUCGAUGCGUAGCCGACCUGAGAGGGUGAUCGGCCACACUGGAACUGAGACACGGUCCAGACUCCUACGGGAGGCAGCAGUAGGGAAUCUUCCGCAAAGGGCGAAAGCUUGACGGAGCAACGCCGCGUGAGUGAUGAAGGUCUUCGGAUCGUAAAACUCUGUUAUUAGGGAAGAACAAAUGUGUAAGUAACUAUGCACGUCUUGACGGUACCUAAUCAGAAAGCCACGGCUAACUACGUG